AAAAGGAUUUAUUUCAAGUAAUUAUUCAUAACAAGUACAGUCAAGGCAUAUUAUCGGUUUUCAUUUGACAAGCUCCAUGAAAGGCUACUAAACAAACACCAUUUAUAUUCUUCCUAAUUCAACAUGUAGGACAGUCUGGUGUACACAUUUCAGACACAUCAAAACAGUUUCAUUAAUACAAGAUUGAGGGACAACAAAACAGCGAUCAAAACAGCAUAAAUCACUUCCCCCCAUACAAUAAUGAUUUCCAAGUAACGUUUUCUUUUCAUCCAACAACACAACGUGUGUAUAAGCUGGCAAGAGUGUACAGAUCAUUCUUGGGCUUUGUGCAAGUUUUUGAACUUUGGAACUCAGUAGGGUGUGGUCCCAGAGACGCAAAACUUCCACGGACGUGGGCUAAUACAGAAAGGAAAUCCAGAAGCAAGGUCCCCCUGCUUUAAUACAGAAGGAUUAUGUUCACACAAACACCACAUUGAGAUCAACAACUGCUUUCCCAUCCAGCCACAAAGAGCAAAGAAAGACCGAGUGAAAGAGAGAGAGAGAGAGAGGGAGAACGAAAAGAAAUGAAAAGAAAAGACAAGGAAAGAGCGAGAGAAAAACAUGAGAGAAGGGGUAUCUGGCACCACUUAAACUGAAGAGCACCUGUUGAAAAAUGAAGACAGAUUAGCAUCAUCUGGAGGCAGCUCUACUGUAGACAGACACAACAUUAUUUGGAACUGAAACCAAAAGGAGGGUUUUUCAUAUCGGUUUCAUAUUUCAGUCGUCUUCUGAUUUGAAUAUGCAGUGGUUUUCAAAAGCACUGCCCCUUUCAUGGAGUGUAGAGCGUCACUGGAAUUAACUGAGGAAUCUUAGUUUCUUUAGUUUCACUACCACCGAAGCAUAAAGCUAAACGUCAGAAUCUACACAGAACAUGUUUCAGUACACUAGGCUGUUGGUUCUCAAUCCAACUUUUGAAGGACCCCAGUACUGCACGUUUAAGUGCACGGGUCUCCUUGUUUUGACACAUCUAGUGUGCAAAUGUGCAGUUCUGGGAUACUCCAGGACCAAUAUUUAGGAAGAGUGCAGCUGGAUAGAUCUGGGAAUGUAUGAGGUAUGAACGCUUCUCCCUUUAUUCAUCAUUACACUAAGCUAAUACACCGGGCACAAAUCUAACAUAAAAAGCACAAAAACUAAGCAGCUAAGGUUUCAAUCAAUCUCCCAUUUUUAGUAUAUUUUUAAUAUAUGUAAUAUUAUUUUAUGGCACCAACCUGUCCUAGUUAUUAAUGAUACCAGCAAUGGUUGUUUGCUUGUGUGAAUAUGUAUGACUAUUCUCAAAACACAAUCUCCUCAGGUUACAGUUGUUUUAACGUACAUGCGCUAUGAUCACAAUCUCUCAACUCUCAAUCAUGCCACAGAAUGACCCCAACACUAAUGUAGAAAACAGCUACAUAGCUAUUACCUCAAGCAAUCUGCUACUAAAACACACACACACAAAAAAACUGAAGUCUGUAGAGCUUCGGAACAUUUCUAAACAGUCCUUUUGAAAACCAAUGCCAUCUUACAAUGAAAAAGAGUGCAGAACAUUUGAUUUAUGAAAAACCCUCCUUUCUGUGCUCCUGGAAGCUCUGUCCUGGAAAAGAGAAAAAAUGGUUUAAUUACAAGUUACAAAUAAUCACACUGCUGCCAACAGGAAGCAGUGUAUUACGUAUGAAGCUUAAAAUGGUGAGUAAAAAGAGGCUAAAUGAUUAUACAGAACAAGCACCAGAAUUUACAAGUGUCAACAUUUCCCCCCCCUGUAUUUAUAGGGAAAAAAUGCCACAUCUCUGGAUUUGAGUUGACUACUAUCAUAAGAAAUAAAAGUAAUCUAAUAGCUCUAAUUUUGAGGCAAUAGGCAAUACUGGUAUUUUUAUAAAUUGGCCAGUUGCUCAACUGCAGCAGGAUCCGUGGUAAAAAUAAAACACUGGGAGUGUACCAGCCACUUGCAAUUGACAGAAAUAAAGAAAGAAAACAAGAUCCAACAAAAAAAAGUAAACCUUUAGCCUACUCUUGAUUCUAUAACAUAAUACCUCACAGCUUUGCCAAAAAGAGACCAAUUAUUCAGUCUCUAAAAUCUUAUCACAUGUGUGAUUACAGUUCGGAAAUAAACAGUUUCCCCAAAGUUAAUCUACACUUACAAUGAAGUUACUAAAAGAUUCAAUAUGAAUCAGGUUUUCUCUCUUAUAAGACGGUUUAUAAAUAUUAUGUCUUAAAAGAUUUAUACUUAGAAAUAUAUAUUUUUAAAAGUCUCAGACUAGAUGAAACCUUUUAAAUCCAUAGGAUUAACUUGGUUUACAUAAAUACAUUCAAACCAAUAAAUAAAUAAACGUGUGCAUAUGCAACUGAAAAACAAAAAAACUGUGUCCUAUACCAAUUUUAAACAAAACAUGUCUAUAAAACUCAAAGUUUACAAAACAACAUUUUAAAAAAAGCUUUAAGUGGAUUCAUAUAUAUUUUACAAGAUUAUUCAUAAUCUUACCCAUUAUAUGUAUUUCUGUGAUUCCUAGAAACUCAUGGUGUAAAUGAACACAAACACAGACAAAUAAAGUACUGUGAUUAAUCAUUCCCAACUACUAUAUUAUAAAAGAUGAUGGUAUAUCAGGAAAUUACAAGUGCAUCUUAAACCAAGAGGUAGCUUUACAAAUGAACUUGAUGGACAUAAUGGCCCCAAACUCUUGGACACAGUGAGCAUUAAAAUCAUAACACACAAAAAACCUCAGAUGUUUCAGUUCACCUGAUUUGAGAGAAAUUGUUGCAACUUAAUUGGAAACUAUCUUUUCCCCUAAAAUCACUUUCUAUUGCUGGCAACAGAGAGACAUUCAGGAGGAAACGAGUAUGUUGUGUUCAGAAUAAUAAAACACAUGCAAGAGGGAAUCUUCAAACACAAAACAACAUCAGACAACAGUUAAUGGUGAUAAAGACAGUUGGCUUCACAUACCCGUAUUUACAUGGUAUAUAUGUGACCAUCUUUUAUUUUUCAUCUUUAAAAUAUCCUCAAAUAAUAAGCUCUAAGUUCUCCAAUAACAAAACUGUUGUAAAAUGACCAAGGAAUACUUUUUCUACGUAUAUAUAAAAACAAACUGAGAAAAGAAAUUCAGCAGUCACGUACUAGUUAGGUGUUUUCAAACACGGAAAUAUUUCAGGAUGAGAAAACAAACAAACUUGACAGCUUCAUACACAUAUUUUUUUCAUUAUAUACAAGAAAGUUACCACUGAUAACAGUUGCUCCCAAAUCCUUUGAAAUUGCAGACCUGGAUGUGUUAAUAUCUACAGACAUAUUUGAUUUUUAUUGAAAUGGCUCAAACAUAAUUUUUGAUUAGAUUUUGUUAUACUAUCUAGAACGAAGAUAUUUAAGGUACUAUCACAAGACUUUGUCUGUGCUACACAAGUAGCGUAUAAUGUAAAGCGGUUGGAUUAACAAUACAGUCACAAAUAUGAACACUGUAAUGCACUAGAUCUAAGAUCAUUUCUGGGGCCAUAAAGUGAGUUUAGGUUAAGCUGUACAGUUAGACAUAACCAAGCACUAUGCUUGCACAGUACUGACGGACUAUUAUUAUUAUUAAUAUAAUUAAUAAUGAUGAUAUAACAACAAUUUGAGGAGUGAAAUACUCAUGACUAAAGCAGUGUAAUAUAUUGACUGAAGAAAUGUAUGGGAUUUGUGUUUUUUAAAAAAAAAAUCUUCUUCCAAAAAUCUAAAGCU
Molecule: long non-coding RNA, 3715 nt
Organism: Cyprinus carpio carpio
Lineage: Eukaryota; Metazoa; Chordata; Actinopteri; Cypriniformes; Cyprinidae
Source: Ensembl